CUGCCAGUAGUCAUACGCUCGUCUCAAAGAUUAACCCAUGCAUGUGUAAGUAUAAAUAAUUCUACUUUGAAACUGCGAAUGGCUCAUUAUAUCAGUUAUAGUUUAUUAGAAAUAGUGUACUACUUGGAUAACCGUAGUAAUUCUAGGGCUAAUACAUGAGUAAAUCCUCGACUUUUGAAGAGGUGUGUUUAUUAGUAUGAAAACCAUAUGCUUUUGCAUGAUAGUGAGUAAUAAUAACCUUUCAUAUCGCCUGUUUUAAAUAGCGAUAGUUCUUUCAAGUUUCUGCCCUAUCAGCUUUCGAUGGUAGUGUAUUGGACUACCAUGGCAGUAACGGGUAACGAAGAAUUUGGGUUCGAUUUCGGAGAGGGAGCCUGAGAGAUGGCUACCACAUCCAAGGAAGGCAGCAGGCGCGUAAAUUACCCAAUCCUGACAUAGGGAGGUAGUGACAAUAAAUCACAAUGCGGGACUAUUUAGUUUUGCAAUUGGAUUGAGAACAAUGUACAAGAGUUAUCGAUAAACAAUUGGAGGGCAAGUCUGGUGCCAGCAGCCGCGGUA
This 555-nucleotide ribosomal RNA is filed under the name Blastocystis sp. Its description in RNAcentral is "SSU rRNA". It matches the Rfam family "Eukaryotic small subunit ribosomal RNA", at positions 14 to 581 of the family's 1831-position model. The record is from RNAcentral. Lineage: Eukaryota; Bigyra; Opalinata; Blastocystidae.